RNAcentral lists this long non-coding RNA (750 nucleotides) under Setaria viridis. RNAcentral describes it as "long non-coding RNA (SVIR_LNC002967)". Lineage: Eukaryota; Viridiplantae; Streptophyta; Magnoliopsida; Poales; Poaceae. The record is from RNAcentral.
AGCAAGACUGCCUCUUCUUCUCCUUCGUAAAUACAGUACUAGUAAGCGUAUACUAGCACUAGCUAGUAAGCCAUGGCGCCGACCGUGAUGGCCUCCUCGGCCACCUCCGUGGCUCCAUUCCAGGGGCUCAAGUCCACCGCCGGACUCCCCGUCAGCCGCCGCAUCAGUAGCACCGGCUUCGUCAGCAACGGCGGAAGGAUCAGGUGCAUGCAGGUAAUAUAAUCGAUCGAUCUAGACACUGGAAUUCUUGCUGUUACGUUGUUCAUAUAAAUAAUACAACUCAAUAGGAAGUUUAGGAACUGAUAUGAGAGUGUCGUUGCUCAGGUGUGGCCGGCGGAGGGCAACAAGAAGUUCGAGACCCUCUCCUACCUGCCACCUCUCUCAACCGACCAGCUCCUGAAGCAGGUCGAGUACCUGAUCCGGAACAACUGGAUCCCCUGCCUCGAGUUCAGCAAGGUCGGGUUCGUCUUUCGUGAGAACAGCAGGUCUCCCUGUUACUACGACGGGCGCUACUGGACCAUGUGGAAGCUGCCCAUGUUCGGCUGCACCGAGGCCACCCAGGUGUACGCUGAGCUCGAGGAGUGCAAGAAGGCCUACCCUGACUGUUACAUCCGUGUCAUCGGCUUCGACAACCUCAGGCAGGUGCAAUGCGUCCUGUUCAUCGCCUACAAGCCCCCGGGCAGCGAGUAGACCGGCGCCGCCAAAUAAAAAGCUUAAAUACUGAGACUCUUCAGCUCCUGCAUGGGCAAC